UACGUAGGGUGCAAGCGUUGUCCGGAAUUAUUGGGCGUAAAGAGCUCGUAGGCGGUUUGUCGCGUCUGCUGUGAAAACUCGGGGCUUAACUCCGGGCCUGCAGUGGGUACGGGCAGACUAGAGUGUGGUAGGGGAGACUGGAAUUCCUGGUGUAGCGGUGAAAUGCGCAGAUAUCAGGAGGAACACCGAUGGCGAAGGCAGGUCUCUGGGCCACUACUGACGCUGAGAAGCGAAAGCAUGGGGAGCGAACAGG
RNAcentral lists this ribosomal RNA (253 nucleotides) under uncultured bacterium. RNAcentral describes it as "partial 16S ribosomal RNA". It matches the Rfam family "Bacterial small subunit ribosomal RNA", at positions 524 to 776 of the family's 1533-position model. The record is from RNAcentral.